Molecule: ribosomal RNA, 468 nt
Filed under: uncultured bacterium
Lineage: Bacteria
Description: partial 16S ribosomal RNA
Rfam family: Bacterial small subunit ribosomal RNA
Source: RNAcentral
GACGAACGCUGGCGGCGUGCUUAACACAUGCAAGUCGAACGGAAAGGCCCUGCUUUUGUGGGGUGCUCGAGUGGCGAACGGGUGAGUAACACGUGAGUAACCUGCCCUUGACUUUGGGAUAACUUCAGGAAACUGGGGCUAAUACCGGAUAGGAGCUCCUGCUGCAUGGUGGGGGUUGGAAAGUUUCGGCGGUUGGGGAUGGACUCGCGGCUUAUCAGCUUGUUGGUGGGGUAGUGGCUUACCAAGGCUUUGACGGGUAGCCGGCCUGCGAGGGUGACCGGCCACAUUGGGACGGAGAUACGGCCCAGACUCCUACGGGAGGCAGCAGUGCGGAAUAUUGCACAAUGGGCGGAAGCCUGAUGCAGCAACGCCGCGUGCGGGAUGACGGCCUUCGGGUUGUAAACCGCUUUCGCCUGUGACGAAGCGUGAGUGACGGUAAUGGGUAAAGAAGCACCGGCUAACUACGUG